RNAcentral lists this ribosomal RNA (605 nucleotides) under Salmonella enterica subsp. enterica serovar Paratyphi B. RNAcentral's name for it is "bacterial LSU rRNA". It matches the Rfam family "Bacterial large subunit ribosomal RNA", at positions 354 to 865 of the family's 2925-position model. The record is from RNAcentral. Lineage: Bacteria; Pseudomonadati; Pseudomonadota; Gammaproteobacteria; Enterobacterales; Enterobacteriaceae.
GAUACAGGGUGACAGCCCCGUACACAAAAGCGCAUGUGCUGUGAGCUCGAUGAGUAGGGCGGGACACGUGGUAUCCUGUCUGAAUAUGGGGGGACCAUCCUCCAAGGCUAAAUACUCCUGACUGACCGAUAGUGAACCAGUACCGUGAGGGAAAGGCGAAAAGAACCCCGGCGAGGGGAGUGAAAAAGAACCUGAAACCGUGUACGUACAAGCAGUGGGAGCCCCACCACUAAGCCAGUGGUGAACUCCACAUACGCAUCCUUUGCUGAGGAUACGGUUAACGGAGCGAAAGCGACGUUCAACCGCAAAAGAAGCAGAGGGGGCUUAGUGGUGGGGUGACUGCGUACCUUUUGUAUAAUGGGUCAGCGACUUAUAUUCUGUAGCAAGGUUAACCGAAUAGGGGAGCCGGAGGGAAACCGAGUCUUAAUUGGGCGUUAAGUUGCAGGGUAUAGACCCGAAACCCGGUGAUCUAGCCAUGGGCAGGUUGAAGGUUGGGUAACACUAACUGGAGGACCGAACCGACUAAUGUUGAAAAAUUAGCGGAUGACCUGUGGCUGGGGGUGAAAGGCCAAUCAAACCGGGAGAUAGCUGGUUCUCCCCGAAAG